Molecule: ribosomal RNA, 405 nt
Filed under: uncultured bacterium
Lineage: Bacteria
Description: bacterial SSU rRNA
Rfam family: Bacterial small subunit ribosomal RNA
Source: RNAcentral
AAUGGACGAGAGUCUGAACCAGCCAAGUAGCGUGAAGGAUGACUGCCCUAUGGGUUGUAAACUUCUUUUAUAUGGGAAUAAAGUUGAGUAUGUAUACUUUUUUGUAUGUACCAUAUGAAUAAGGAUCGGCUAACUCCGUGCCAGCAGCCGCGGUAAUACGGAGGAUCCGAGCGUUAUCCGGAUUUAUUGGGUUUAAAGGGAGCGUAGGUGGAUUGUUAAGUCAGUUGUGAAAGUUUGCGGCUCAACCGUAAAAUUGCAGUUGAAACUGGCAGUCUUGAGUACAGUAGAGGUGGGCGGAAUUCGUGGUGUAGCGGUGAAAUGCUUAGAUAUCACGAAGAACUCCGAUUGCGAAGGCAGCUCACUGGACUGCAACUGACACUGAGUCUCGAAAGUGUGGGUAUCAAA